Long non-coding RNA from Herpailurus yagouaroundi (jaguarundi), 461 nucleotides. RefSeq lists it as uncharacterized. The transcript has 3 exons. NCBI's taxonomy places the organism in Eukaryota, Metazoa, Chordata, Mammalia, Carnivora, Felidae. The record is from RefSeq and is a predicted model, not a curated record.
AGUUCAGACCUGUGCUCUUUCAAUGUGUUUGGACAACUGUUAUGUAAAUAUCACUCAAAGCAAGAUGUAGAACAUUUCUAUCUCCCUAGAAAGUUUCCUCAUGCUCUUUUCUAGUCAACUGCCAGCCGCCCCCCCCCCCCCCCCCCAGUCACCUUCGGUCUCCUAUCACUGCCAUUUUUUGCAGUGGAUUCUAGAAUGUCAUAUAAAUGGAAUCAUACCUAUGCCUUUAACGUAUGUGGGUUCAUCCAUUCUGUUGUAUGUAUCCAUAGUUUGUCCUUUGAUAUUGCUGAGAAGUACUCCAUUGGAUGAACAUGUCACGAUUUCUGUUUUCCAGUUGUUGGAGGUGUUUCCAGCUUGGAGUGGGACAAGCGGCUAUAAGCUUGGACAGUUCUUAUUAUGAACAUAUUUAUUUAUUUACUUACUUAUAUUAAGUUUAUUUUAUUUUGAGAGAGAGAGAGAGA